This is a long non-coding RNA of Strongylocentrotus purpuratus (purple sea urchin), 653 nucleotides long. RefSeq lists it as uncharacterized. The record is from RefSeq and is a predicted model, not a curated record. Lineage: Eukaryota; Metazoa; Echinodermata; Echinoidea; Camarodonta; Strongylocentrotidae. The transcript has 3 exons.
GCAGAGUUGCUGCCAAGUUCCUGCAGCAACAACAAGAAAGUGAAGGAGUGGGACCGUCCAAAUGCAGAGGCGGUGGUGAUGAUACUGGCACUGCACUGAUGGUGAUGAUCAUGAACAUAAACAAAGAACUGGCAGGAAACUUGAGUCAACUGCAGGGUAUCAUGCCGAAUGUUAUCGACACUUCUGCAACGUGACAACAAUCAAUCGAGCGAUAGCAAGAUUCCAGAAGAAGAAAGAUGCUGAGAAGACCUCAACCAAGGAACAUCUUCAAGAAGCACCCCCCAAUGAAGACGGAGAUAUCCCAGCAGGGCCAGCACCCAAGAGAAUGUUACGAUCUGGAGUAUCGUGCGGACAGCAAUCCUCUACCCCCCAGUGGUCUGACAGACGGCAUGUGCUACCAGUCCAAUGUGUCAUUUGCAAAGGGACGAAGUACUUUCGUGAACAAUCUUCGGGUAAACGAAAAGUAGAAAAAUAUGUCUUGUGUGAAAGAAAAGAUGGGGGGAAUUUGUUAACGGCUGCUUUGAUGAAGCAAGAUGAAGCUCUGUUGUUGGAUUUAAGGGGUAAGGAUCAUGUAGCGAUUGAAGUUAGAUAUCACAAAUCUUGUUAUUACAGGUACACAAAGGUGGCACUCGGUUCAAAACUUCACACAGAAA